RNAcentral lists this long non-coding RNA (5178 nucleotides) under Solanum tuberosum (potato). RNAcentral's name for it is "long non-coding RNA (STUB_LNC004701)". The record is from RNAcentral. Lineage: Eukaryota; Viridiplantae; Streptophyta; Magnoliopsida; Solanales; Solanaceae.
ACGGGCCCAACAUUCUGAAUUUUGAUGUGAUCUUUUUAGCGUCAUAACAAAAUAUCAAUACUUAACUGUAUUAUUGAUUUUCUCGUAUAAUAACAGUACAACAUUAGUCUACGGAGAAAACAGAAAGAGGCAUUUCUUAUUAUCAAUGUUUACAAGUCUGCUUUGGGAAAAUAUGAUUAAUUGAGUCACCUUUUUUUCCAUACAUCUAGAAAGAGACGAAUACGGUCUUAAAGUUAAUCCAGAGUCGCCAUGGAAUUACAGGAAUCUUCAGCUCUGAUUUCUCCUCCAUUCUCCUUUUUGUUUCCUCUGCUGAGCCACUUAGAAGUUAGGAUCAAAGUUUGUCCCUCUGUUAUCCCCAAAUGUCAAUUCAAUGUGAUUAAUGGUCAGCCUCUAUUACAUUCUGUGCUAAUCUAAAUUCCAUAAAAAUGUUUGAACAAAUUACCAUGUCCAUAUACAGAAUCUACCAAAAAUAAAUAUGCAGAAAGAGCAAAAAGAAGAUACAUAUAAUGUUUUACAAUCAAUGCCUAUAUUUCAUUCCUAUGAUAAACUGAUGUCAAUGGAUGGAGGAGUGGGGAUACUGAAAUGAAACGAAUAAUGAAACUCAAUCUAUCAAUAUCAUGCAUCAUCUGUAAGGCAAACAUUGAACUCUAAUAUUACAAAAUAGCAUAAUAAAUGAAAAAGAUAGAAAGACAGACAGGAAGGAAUAUAGACAUGUGACAUUCAAAAAUAAAUAAAUUUCCUACCUCUUCGGUGUCUCAUAAUCAUCUCUCUCUCUCUUAUUUACUCUUGGUUAUACAAAGUACCAUGGUCCAAAGACGCUGCAAAUCACUUGUCCAAGGGUCAUGGUAAGCAUAUUCGUAGAUGUCGUGUCAAACAAAAUGUUUGUGGUUAGGGUACUUCAAAAGCUUUUCAUAAACUUUUUUCAUUGCUAGUAACUUUCAGAAUCUCAAGCUUUAGACACAUUACAACCAUAUCUCAUAAUAUAUGAGUCACAAGCAAUAAAUAGAAAAAACAACCAAAUUAAAGUAGUAUCAUUUGGGUUUGUGAAUAUCUUCUUCGUUUAUCAUAUGCUAGGAGAAGCAGUUGACAUGAUAAUACAAAAUGAACAUGAGUUCAUACAUCACAAAAUAUGAAGAUCGAUAAUAGAAUUUGAACACUAAAUUCAAGUAACAAUAAUAAAAACAUCCAAAUAAUGAGAGUUAAAGAAUCAAAUAGUACCCUUUGAUAAAUGCUACUAUUGCAAUAGCACAAUCUUUACUUGUUAACUAUUGUCAAUCUGGAAGUUGUGUACGAAGUACAUUCUUUCUAUUUGUUAGUAAUAGACUUCCAAAAUAGUAAUCCUUAUCAUCCAACAAAAGUUGCACUUAUAGGUUAGGCUUGUUUUUUCUCCACCAAUUGAUAUCAAUUAUCACGAGAAAGAAACCAUUUGACAUUCAAUUUUAUCAACACUUUUCCUUCUAUCAUAAUGUCUUGAAAGUUCUGAAAUAAUAAGUCUUAUGAUUUAUCAUCUGGUCCACUAAGUUGAUGGCAUACAUAUUCUUGUCUUUUGAGUAUAUACAUGGAUGAACACUCUUUAUAUAAGAGUUGAUAUUUUAUACUUUCUGAGCUCAGUUGAAGUCUACUUGUACUUGAAUAGAAAUAAAAUAAAUCUUUCCUAAAAAUUCCCAAACCCCUAUUCUUUCCCAAUCAGAAGAAACAACAAGAGUUUGUGUACUCUGAAAUUAUGUGCAGAAUUUUCCCACCAUCAAUCAUUAUUAGCAUUAAAAACAGACUCGAGACACCAUACAAGAAACAAAUCUGAAAUAUUCUAUGCAUACUCAUCACCAUUUUGAAGCACCCAAUAUUAUUCAUAUGCAUGAACUGAUUUCCGUUAAAUAACAACAAUAAUCUAAUCGAAAAAUGGCAAUAAUCGAGCAAAACGACGUUAGAUUACCUACUGCUCGAUCUCAGGGACCUUCUAUACUCUCAAAUUCAACUCUCUCUCUCUCUCUCUCUCUGGGGUACAAAUUGACACAUAAAACAAUUAAAUUAAAGCUAAUCUUGAUUAUCAAAAAUUAAAAGAUAAUAACUUGUUCUCCCAAGAAAAUAUAGAAUUCAAGGAACUUACUAAUGGUAUCGAGUGAUGUACUUCUCAUCUUGCUCAUCUCGAGUUCCAUCCGCCUUGUUGUCCCUACUACAAGCCCAAUACUGUUUUCUGUUAAGUUCAACUUUUGAAAUUAGAACGAAUUGCCUUACCAAAAAGAAAAAGGGUAAGACUCAUUAACCAACUCCAAUCCAAUAUAGAUCGUAAGUAAGUUGAAAGGCAAUCAAAUAAUUGACAGAACGUGAAUGCAUUACUAACCUUUGGGAAUUUUAGUCACAUAGCAUGUCUAUAUUUUUAUUGAGUUCUUCCCAAUACCCCUGAGGAUUAUGCGACUGACGCAAAUAACCUUAAUGUGUCAGCCCAAAAAGUCAAGCCCAAGCUUGGUUCUCUCUGAUUUUUCUACAAUUAUUGAUUGCAGUGUUCAUCCUUCUCUUGCUCAUUUAUAUAUAAGGGUAAUAUUAGUGCGAUUUGAAUCUAAAUAUUCCUUCAACAUCUGAAAAUGGACACAAUAUAUAUUGAAUAAGUUGAAAAUAGAGAAUCUACAUGAUUGAAGAACUUUAUCAACAUAUUGAAACAAUACUUUCCAAGAAUUUAAAAGUCAGUGAAUGAAUUUUAAUUUAAAGUGAAAAGAAGCCUACGAGGGAAAGAAGAUGUUUCAUCUUCACAUGAGCAACUAUGAACUCCAAACACAAAAGUCCACUGUAAUAAAGUUCAAAUUGGCAUAAAGCUUGUAAAUGAUUGUGACUGCCAUGAUUGUAAGGUUUUUCUCGAAAGACCUCACACCAUUAAGAGAAUCUACAUCUUAUAUGUAGUUUCCAAUCUUUUCUUGAGAGAUACAUUAGCUCUCUGGACUAAGUCCAAUAAUGUGUCAACACAACCAUAAUGAACAUAAAAAGAUACUGAUUUUGUGGCUCUUAGUAAAUAUAAUUAAUCACAACAACCCUCUAGAUCUUAAUCCCUACUCUUGAUUUUCCCAUCUGUAACCAUGUAACGAAAAAGCGAAUGAGUAUUUUAUUUUCCAUAGGUAUUUAGUACUCACUUUCUAGAUGACCACACCUUGUAGAUUAAUACCAAUGCAAUCAUUAUUUAAGUACAUGAAGUGAUGUACAGUCUAGAGUAAAUAUGAAUAAAUAUAGAAAAGAGAAGCUCACAGAGGCGUGAUCCUCGAGCGCAUAUCAUUCUGGAACACUGGGAAUGAAGUAAUUUCACUGUACCUUGCUCAUACCUCUUUCUCUCGCUCUCCCUGUCUAUGUUUUUUUAAAAAUAUAUGAAAAAUACAACGUUUCUCUUUUUCUAAAGUUGUAGUGAUUGAUGUCCGAAGGAUUUUAAACAUACCAUAUCCCACAUAAAGAAGAAGAGACAGGCUCUGAGUCUCACAUUGCCCUGUUUUGCUCCAUUUUACAAUGAUCCAUCACUACACAUCCCUUCAAAUUUGCUUGUUCUUUCUGAUAAUAAUCACCCCACACUACAAAAAUCAUGUAAAUAUCAAAUGUAUAAGUGAGGAAUGGUAUCUGUAGGGAAAAGAAAUGAAAAAGUCUUUUAGUUGGUUAGAACAUACUAUCAAACACCUUUGUUGCACCAAUUCUUAAAUUAAGUUAAUCAUGCAAUAUAAAUUUUAACGAUAGAACACAGAAUUUGCAACACAUCUCAUAAGAUUGCACCUGAAUAUCUCAAUUCAAACAUGAAUAUUGAAUAAGCAUAUCAAAAAAAUUGGUACAUGCAUAUUGAAACCCAAUAGGAAACAACCCAAAAGAACAAGUGACGAUUACAGAUAAUGAGAGUGCAAUAACUAAAGAACGAUUGCUUUAAAACCUCAAAAAACAUAAAUAGCAACUCCUUCCACUUCUUCGCGUUUCAACCCCAGAGCAGGUAGAUGUAACAGAAGUAAGAUUAUCGGGAAAAUUAAAUUAAAGUGAACUAAACUAUCAGCACAGAAAGCACCUUAGAUGCAGUGUGUGCAUUAAAGAAAAGAUCCAGAGUUAUAUACGUAUCUAUUUAUAUUUUGAAUCAUGCAUAAGCAAAAUAGAUAAAAUUGAUGAUACGCACACAUAAGAAUCCAAAAAAUAAUUGAAAUGUUGUGUUUCAACCGCUUUGUUCUUGAUGUGGGCAUUUUUUAAAUUUGUUAAUUUUUUACCAUAGGUCGUUGCAUGUACUUGGAGAAGAAAGGAAAGGAAGAAAUUAAAAAGAUGAGUUACAGGGAACAUCGAGCUUAGAUGGAAGUCCUUCAUGGAAUCCAUGGUUGGAUCUUCCCAAUAAAAAAACAAUUCAAAAUGUGAAUUUCAAAAAGGAUUAGUACCUGCUUUGUUAUAUUUGUUCCUUUUUUGGUGUAACCUUCAGAGCAGGUUUAUUAAUUACCAGCAAGUAAAGAGACAGAAUAUAAGAGCACCAACGGAAAAUUCAUUGACAUAGCAGAGUCUUUAUGAGUAUCUGGGUAGUUAUAUUUGUUGCAUAUUCUGAUUUCUCUAAAGUAAAAGGUUGUUACAUUCAAUUAUUGGCAAAUGAAAGUAGAACAGAGUCAUUACGGAAAAGCAAAAAUUUAAAAAGACGACGAUGAAAUGAAGAAAAUUAGAGAACAUAGAAACAAAAUCUAAACUCGAUUAGAAACAUGCAAGUAGAAAAAUCCACAAUAAACUCACCUCUAUUAAAAAUAUGCAAGUAGAAAAUUGAUUGGCAAAAGAAAAUUCAACAUUAAACUAAUCUCCGUUAGGAACAUGCAAGUAGAAAAUUUCAGAACAAACUAAGAAAAAAAUCAGAAAAUCACCCAAGAAUUGGAUCCAAAAUUGACAACAGAUCUACCUCUAAUAAAAACGAAAAUCAGGGGGAAAAGGGGUGAGAAAAAUAAGAAAAUCAAAAUCUGAAAAAUCUAAACAAAAGAGUGAGAAGAUUAAGUAAACUAAAAACUUAUAAGAAGAAAAGCAGAGAUUUUAAUCUGAAGGCCAAAAACUUACCAGUUUUAACUUUCUCUUGAAAGAGAUUGAAUUGAGAGCUCUAAUUACUCUUAGAAAGCAAUCUCAAUUGCUCACACGUGGAAAUAAAAAGACUUCAGUUGUCAAUACCCAAUCAAAUUGAGCCACAAAGGACCAAAAACUAUGAGG